RNAcentral lists this ribosomal RNA (810 nucleotides) under Pristionchus lheritieri. RNAcentral's name for it is "SSU rRNA". It matches the Rfam family "Eukaryotic small subunit ribosomal RNA", at positions 109 to 958 of the family's 1831-position model. Lineage: Eukaryota; Metazoa; Nematoda; Chromadorea; Rhabditida; Neodiplogasteridae. The record is from RNAcentral.
CCCGUAAUCUACCCAGUUUUCGUAUCCAAAACGGAUAUCUGCGUUAAUUUUGGAGCUAAUACRUGCACCAAAGCACCGCCAGCAAUGGUAGUGCGCACAUAUUAGAUCAAGACCUAUUGGGGCAACCCACUUGAUGACUCUGAAUAUUUUUGCGGAUCGCAUGGUCUUGUACCGGCGACGUACUGGUCGAGCGGGUGCCCUAUCAACUAUUGAUGGAAGUCUAUGUGUCUUCCAUGGUUGUAACGGGUAACGGAGAAUAAGGGUUCGACUCCGGAGAGCUAGCCUUAGAAACGGCUAUCACAUCCAAGGAAGGCAGCAGGCGCGUAAAUUACCCACUCUCAAUUCGAGGAGGUAGUGACUAUCAAUAACGAGACAGAUCUCUUUGAGGUCUGUCAUUGAAAUGAGCACAACUUAAAGACUUUAACGAAGUCUAUGGGAGGGCAAGUCUGGUGCCAGCAGCCGCGGUAAUUCCAGCUCCCAACGUGUAUAUCGUCAUUGCUGCGGUUAAAAAGCUCGUAGUUGGAUCUAAGUUCAUGACUGUAGUUCUCCAUGUGAGAUACUGCUAGUCUGGACUGUUUCGCCGGUUUUCCGUAGCUUCGGCUGCGGUGACUGGUGUUGUAACUUUGAUUAAAUCAAUGUGAUUAAAACAGGCGUUUGCUUGAAUGCUUUAUCAUGGAAUAAUAGAAUAUGACUUCGGUCCAUUCUGUUGGUCUUGGGAUUGAAGUAAUGAUUAAAAGGAACAACUCGGGGGCAUCCGUAUCGCUGCGUGAGAGGUGAAAUUCUUGGACCGCAGCGAGACGACCUAUUGCG